AGCGAACGCUGGCGGCAGGCUUAACACAUGCAAGUCGAGCGGGCACUUCCGGGUGUCAGCGGCGGACGGGUGCGUAACGCGUGGGAACGUGCCCUCUGGUUCGGAAUUACUCUGGGAAACUUGAGCUAAUACCGGAUACGCCCUUUUGAGGAAAGGCGUUCUGCCGUGGGAUCGGCGCGCGUCUGAUUAGCUAGUGGGUGAGGUAACGGCAUGCCAAGGCGAGGGUCAGUGGCUGGUCUGAGAGGAUGAUCAGCCACACUGGGGCUGAGACACGGACCAGACUCGUACGCAGAGGAGCGGUAGGUAGCAUUAGGGGAGGGGGGCAGACCUGAUCAAGCCGUGCCGGGUGAGUGGGCAAGGGGGUAGUAUUGUAAAUCUCUUUGAGACGGGACGAUAGUGAUGGUACCGGAGGAAUAAGCCCCGGCUAACUUCGUG
This 435-nucleotide ribosomal RNA is filed under the name uncultured bacterium. RNAcentral describes it as "partial 16S ribosomal RNA". It matches the Rfam family "Bacterial small subunit ribosomal RNA", at positions 30 to 507 of the family's 1533-position model. The record is from RNAcentral.